Molecule: ribosomal RNA, 252 nt
Filed under: uncultured bacterium
Lineage: Bacteria
Description: partial 16S ribosomal RNA
Rfam family: Bacterial small subunit ribosomal RNA
Source: RNAcentral
ACGGAGGGCGCGAGCGUUACCCGGAUUUACUGGGCGUAAAGGGCGUGUAGGCGGCCUGGGGCGUCCCAUGUGAAAGGCCACGGCUCAACCGUGGAGGAGCGUGGGAUACGCUCAGGCUAGAGGGUGGGAGAGGGUGGUGGAAUUCCCGGAGUAGCGGUGAAAUGCGCAGAUACCGGGAGGAACGCCGAUGGCGAAGGCAGCCACCUGGUCCACUUCUGACGCUGAGGCGCGAAAGCGUGGGGAGCAAACCGG